Molecule: ribosomal RNA, 1685 nt
Filed under: marine sediment metagenome
Description: bacterial LSU rRNA
Rfam family: Bacterial large subunit ribosomal RNA
Source: RNAcentral
UCCGUCGGAAUCCGGGAGGACCAUCUCCCAAGGCUAAAUACUACCUAGUGACCGAUAGUGAACCAGUACCGUGAGGGAAAGGUGAAAAGUACCCCGAGAGGGGAGUGAAAUAGCACCUGAAACCGUGUGCCUACAAGUAGUCGGAGCCCAUGUUGAUUAUCCUUCGGGAUAGUCACGGGUGACGGCGUACCUUUAGCAGAAUGGACCGGCGAGUUAUGAUUGCGUGCAAGGUUAAGUGAAUUAUUCAUGGAGCCGCAGCGAAAGCGAGUCUGAAUAGGGCGACAUAGUACGCGGUCAUAGACCCGAAACCAUGUGAUCUACCCAUGUCCAGGGUGAAGGCCAGGUAAUACUGGCUGGAGGCCCGAACCCACGUAUGUUGGCGGGGAUGAGGUGUGGGUAGGGGUGAAAAGCCAAUCGAACAUGGAGAUAGCUGGUUCUCUCCGAAAUAGCUUUAGGGCUAGCCUCAAAAGGUAGAGUGUUGGAGGUAGAGCACUGAUUGAACUAGGGGCUCUCAUCGAGUUACCGAAUUCAGUCAAACUCCGAAUGCCAAUUACUUUCUUUUGGGAGUCAGACAAUGAGUGAUAAGGUUCAUUGUCAAGAGGGAAACAACCCAGACCACCAGUUAAGGUCCCCAAGUAUACGUUAAGUGGAAAAGGAUGUGAAGUUGCAUAGACAACCAGGAUGUUGGCUUAGAAGCAGCCACCAUUUAAAGAGUGCGUAAUAGCUCACUGGUCGAGUGACUUCGCGCCGAAAAUGUACCGGGGCUAAACGUAUCACCGAAACUGUGGGCUGUUCCUUAUGGAACAGUGGUAGGAGAGCGUUCUACGUGCAGCGAAGUAAGAUCGUGAGGACUUAUGGAGCGCGUAGAAGUGAGAAUGCCGGUAUGAGUAACGAAAAAAGAGUGAGAAUCUCUUUCACCGAAAGCCCAAGGAUUCCUGAGGAAGGCUCGUCCUCUCAGGGUUAGUCGGGACCUAAGCUGAGGCCGAAAGGCGUAGGCGAUGGACAACAGAUUGAUAUUUCUGUACCACCUCGUUAUCGUUUGAAUGAUGGGGAGACGCAGGAGGAUAAGAAGAGCGCACCGCUGGUCGAGUGCGUCCAAGCAGUGAGAAAGUUGAAUAGGCAAAUCCGUUCAACAAUUUCAAGCUGUGAUGGGGAGGGAAAUUUAGUACCGAAGCUUCUGAUUUCACACUGCCAAGAAAAGCCUCUAAUGAGAUAACAGGUGCCCGUACCGUAAACCAACACAGGUAGGCACGAAGAGUAUUCGAAGAUGAGCGGGACAACUCUCGUUAAGGAACUCGGCAAAAUGACCCCGUAACUUCGGGAGAAGGGGUGCUUCUUUUGCGAGAAGCCGCAGUGAAUAGGCUCGAGCGACUGUUUAUCAAAAACACAGGUCUCUGCGAAGCCGCAAGGCGAUGUAUAGGGGCUGACACCUGCCCGGUGCUGGAAGGUUAAGAGAAUGUGUUAGAACUUCGGUUCAAAGCACUGCAUCGAAGCCCCAGUAAACGGCGGCCGUAACUAUAACGGUCCUAAGGUAGCGAAAUUCCUUGUCGGGUAAGUUCCGACCCGCACGAAAGGUGCAACGACUCGAGCACUGUCUCAACGAGAGACCCGGUGAAAUUAUACUAUGCGUGAAGAUGCGCAUUACCCGCGACAGGACGGAAAGACCCCGUGGAGCUUUACUGUAG